GAAAUGCGAUAAGUAAUGUGAAUUGCAGAAUUCAGUGAAUCAUCGAAUCUUUGAACGCACAUUGCGCCCGCCAGUAUUCUGGCGGGCAUGCCUGUUCGAGCGUCAUUACAACCCUCAGGCCCCCGGGCCUGGCGUUGGGGAUCGGCGGAAGCCCCCUGCGGGCACAACGCCGUCCCCCAAAUACAGUGGCGGUCCCGCCGCAGCUUCCAUUGCGUAGUAGCUAACACCUCGCAACUGGAGAGCGGCGCGGCCACGUCGUAAAACACCCAACUUCUGAAUGUUGACCUCGAAUCAGGUAGGAAUACCCGCUGAACUUAAG
RNAcentral lists this unclassified non-coding RNA (319 nucleotides) under plant metagenome. Its description in RNAcentral is "partial contains 5.8S ribosomal RNA, internal transcribed spacer 2, and large subunit ribosomal RNA". The stretch from base 1 to 105 matches the Rfam family "5.8S ribosomal RNA", at positions 50 to 154 of the family's 154-position model. The record is from RNAcentral.